GUACAAGAUCCUUGUGUAUUUAAUGUAAACAGGAUAAGCACAGAACUAAAUGCUUUUUUUAGACAUUGUUUCAGUUGUUUUUUUCAAUGAAGAAAAUAAUAAGUAAACUGUUACUUUGCAAUUGCUUUUAAAUGCAAAGUAGAUCUCACUUGGAACAUUUUGAACAAGAUGAGUUGUACAGCAAAUACCUAGAGGCUUCUAUUUGAAGGGCUGAUAAAGUAGGCUUUGAAUGUGAAUGAAAGCAAUUGUUAUUUUUUGCAGUGUAAAAUAAGUGAAACUUGAAGAGCAAGCUUUGUGAAGAAGUUGGUUUUAGUAGUAGUAUUUGGUGGUGCUUAAUUACCAGCUUUAUUAAAUACAGAGUUAGAAAAAACUGUAUUGAAUGAUCAGUUCACUCUUCUCUCUGCAAUACAAGAUUGUCUUCACAGCUGAGUUCUGGAGUCUGUCACGGGCAGUGUAAUGUAAUAACAGUGUAAUAACUGUAUCAUAGUCAUGUAGUUGCAUUAAAAGAUAAGACCUGAUAUAAUAAUUUAUAUGUUAAAAAAUGCAAAUAGCUUUUUUCAGUAAACUUAAUCUAGGAAGGCUAUUUAAUUCUGAAUAUGUAACUUACUGGAGUUUUGAUAAAGGAUGAGGCUCUUAAAGUAUCAGAUAUUAUCACUAACAAGGAACAUGGAGCAUUCAUCAGCAGAAUAUAAUCUAGAUUUUCUGAAUACUGUCCCAUUCUGGGGAAAACAAAAUGUUUUUCCUGUCAACACAAAAGGUUCAGCAAACUGGACCUAUCCCAUGAGAAAAGUUGAUGAUAUUUCUGAGAACUAUUGAUAAUAGUUUUGGUGAAGCAGCAUCAUAUGCACUGCUUUUCUGUUACUACUGGGUACUUACUAAGCUGCCUGUUAACAAGCAGUAGUUGUGCAAUUUAUGGGCACGUUGACAUAUUUUUCAGCCUUCUAACAUGUAGAAAAUGAAAAUAUCUUCAUCCUUAAGAGACACUUGGAUGAGAGUUAGCUGAUGGUAACCAUUCAGGAGUUGUUUCACACUGAGGUAUUUCACUACCCAUUUUCAGUCUGUGUGUGUCAUAAGAUAGAAUAGUGCACCUGGAGUAAUGGAUAAGCUGUUUCAAAAUGAAAUUUGAAUAAACAAAAUAAUAAUUUAAAUAAUAGUCAGUAUUCCUAGGAAUUGAAGCAAAUUUGACUAGUGAGAUUCAAAUGGAAAUACUGAAACAAGCAACUAAUUUCAUUAGCAACACCUAAUUAAUUCUAAGGAAACUGUCUGGAGAAGGAAUGAGCAUAGGAGGACUGGGAAUAUGCAUACAAGUGGGAACAAAUUUCUCUGGCCUGCAGGUGGUGCAGUCUUUCACAGCCUGGUUAUCCAUCCCAGGUAACAGUCAGUGUUCCAUCUGUAGCAGUUUUUCUUAGGAUGACCAGGUGUGUGUACAGUGACCCCAUCAUUGUGCUGAGCUCCUCUGGCAAAGUAUCUGCAAAAAGAGCUGUUCCCACAAUGUUUCAGUAUUGGGUUAAAAAGAAGGCAGUCAGCCUAAAGCACUUGGCCUCUGUUGUAACUGAAUUUCAGACAAAAAGCAUGGCAAGUUUGGUGCUAAAAAAAAAAAGUCUGGUGUAAUAGACAUGAAAUUGUCAUCUUAAGAGUGUGAAUGUGAUAGCUCUUAUAGGGGACUGUUAGAAAGCUCCUAUUACAAGGUAAGUUUAAAGAAAUAGUUUUUCACCUAAGUCUGGGAUUGUUUGGUCCGGAGAAGAAGAGGCUCACAGGAGCUCUCAACAACUCCCUGAAAGGAGGUUGUGGCAAGGUGGGGGUUGUCCCAAAUAAGAGCAAUAAGUUAAGAGGAAAUGGCCUCAGGUUGUACCAGGGGAGGUUCAGGUUGGAUAUUAGGAAGAAUUUGUCAGGAAGAGUGGUGUGGCAUUUGAACAAGCUGCCCAGGGAGGUGGUGGAGUCCCCAUCCCUGCACGUGUUCCAGGAAAGGGUAGAUGUAGCACUGAGGGACGUGGGUUAGUGGGCAAUGUUGGCAGUAGGUGAAUGGUUGGACUAGGUGAUCAUAGAAGUCUUUUCCAACCUUAAUGAUUCUAUUAUUCAAGCUGCAACAGUGAAAUGUCAAAAUUUGCGUAUGAGAAUGAGAAAAAUGUCUCCAAAGAUCACGCUGAUGAAAAGUCAGAGGACAGGUACUUUUGUGUGUGCAGGUCUAGUCUCAGUUGCUUCUUGCUGAGGUAUACUUUGUGAAGGAUGCUUGCUAUUAAAUCUGAAAUCGUAAAGAAAAGAAAAA
This is a long non-coding RNA of Tympanuchus pallidicinctus (lesser prairie-chicken), 2266 nucleotides long. RefSeq lists it as uncharacterized. The transcript has 2 exons. Lineage: Eukaryota; Metazoa; Chordata; Aves; Galliformes; Phasianidae. The record is from RefSeq and is a predicted model, not a curated record.